This is an RNA transcript of Scatophagus argus, 4125 nucleotides long. It is a transcript of the gene named beta-1,3-galactosyltransferase 1-like, with no coding region annotated. The transcript is spliced from 3 exons. Lineage: Eukaryota; Metazoa; Chordata; Actinopteri; Scatophagidae. The record is from RefSeq and is a predicted model, not a curated record.
ACACAAUACGUCAGAGAAAUGGUAGGAUCCACUCCAGGAUUAACAUUUGGGAAAACUGCUGCUCCAGUUUGUCGUAACAGACGACAACAAGUCACACUUAAUCGCAACUGAAUGCCAAAUCCAGUCAUGAAUUUUUCAGUGGAGCAAUAUCCUGUAGCUUUUUCUCUGCUACGCAUGUAAAAGGACAAGAAGCCACAUCUUGACACAGGACAGCGUCAACAUGCUGAAAAGUGUCUUUGCUAAAGGACGACAAUGGCAGGGAAAGGUCUUUGGGAAACGUGCAGACAGCAGAAGAGCAUGUAGCUGUUCACGCCGUCGCUGUCUCUUCAUCAUUCUGGUGUUGGGAGCAGUUUUGUUUUUUUACAACACUGACAUAAAGGAGAUGGCGCCUGACUGCAAUCCAAACUGCUUGACACGAUAUAAUGCAACAAAAUGGUGGCUUGCAUUUAGAAGACAGGAACAAAAUGCUUUCUCUCCCCACGUAACUGAUUCCAGCAUCAGAAAAGCUGAGACCAGCUUGGCUGUCUUCCCUCAUACUGAGACCAUGAUGUCAACAAACCUCAAAGACACAACUCAAACAUCACAUCAGAUUAGCAACGCUUCAGCGGCGGUACGACAGAAACCUGCAUUACGACCAGCACCGUCACCGGUUCCUUAUAAAUCUCCACGACCGUACUUAGUGGAAUACCCCUAUGACUACCACUUCAUUAUCAAUGAGCCACAGAAAUGUGAACAGCAGAAGCCUUUCCUGGUUCUGAUGGUCCCUGUGGCGCCUCACAACAGGAAGGAUCGUGACAUUGUCCGCAGCACCUGGGGAGGUGAAAGCCCAGUACUGGACAAAGUGGUGAUGCUGUUCUUCCUCCUGGGGCUUCACACUGGAGAGGGAGCGGAGCAGCUCCAAGACCAGCUGCUGCAGGAGAGCAAAGAACAUCAAGACCUGAUCCAGAGCGACUUCCUGGACUGCUACAAGAACCUGACCAUCAAGACCAUGGUGAUGCUGGAGUGGCUGGACUUCCACUGCUCCAGCGCCUCUUAUGCCAUGAAGAUCGAUUCAGACACGUUUCUAAAUGUUCCCAAUCUCAUCACCAUGUUGUUAAAUGCUCCAAAGACAAACUACAUGACCGGACUUGUGGAGAGAGGAGCUGUAGUGCACAGAGAUCCAAGUUCUAAGUGGUAUGUACCUGUGGAGCUUUACCCUCACCCACAGUAUCCACGUUACGCUUUGGGUCUGGGUUACGUUUUGUCUCUCGAUCUCCCUAAAAAGCUGGUGGAGGCGUCCAGACACGUUAAACCUCUUUACCUUGAAGAUGUUUAUUUAGGGUUGUGUAUGCAGCACUUGGGGAUCCCCCCCACUGACCCCCCAAAGUGGGGUUACUUUAAUGUCUUUCCUGUGGAGUACAGUCGCUGUGCUUACUCCAGACUUAUAGCCACAACCACACAUGAAAACUCUGAUCGUUUGAGUGACUGGAAAGACUUUAAGAAGCCAGGCUCAUACUGCUGAUCAGCUAAAGAAGGACUGAGAGCAAAAUAUUGACACUUUGUGUCGUUACCUUUCUCUACUCUCUAUCACGUGAUACCACAAAUUUUGUCACACCUGCCCAUAGCAGAAUGAGGAAGUCUAAAAUCUGCACUCCAUCAUUAACUGCGGAGGUGGAGAAGUAAAAGACACAAUCAGAUAUUUUGUAAAUGUAGGUUAAUCAGUUGGCCUAGAGGUAAAUAAACCGGGCAUGGCAGGAGCAUGAUACAUCACUGAGGAAUACCUGCCAUUUAAACAACAACGAGUAUGUGGCACAGUCCCAUUCAGGUUUCACCACAGGUCUUUAGAGUGUUUGACACUUAGCACUGGCCAUUAGAGCAGCGUUUCUCCCCAUCUCCCACAACAGACGGGCUAAGACGUGUCACAGAAUUCAGGGAAGGUUUUCAUUGUUCUGCUUGACAAGAACGGCUGCAGAAAAUGGUUCAAAUACUUUGUCAUGAUUAUACCUGAAUGGGGCCUUUUUCUCACACUCUUAACUCCAGUCACAGGUGUGCUGAUCUGGGCUUCGUACUGGAGAAACAGUACUUCAGCUCCUCCAAGCUGAGAAGAAGAGGUUAAAUCACUUGUCAUGUGAAGAACGGCUUUAUUGCCAGACCAACAUGUUUGGUCUUGCGUCCUCGCUGCUACUCACACAUUAUCAGAAAUUGUUCCAGAGUCACACAUGUAAUGCUGGGUGUAAAUGUUCGUGCUGGGGGAAAUUACAGACUAGUUUUAGGUGAAAUGGAGGCUUUCCACCAAAUGUUUGCGAAGAUAUUUUGGCUACAGAUCACCACUUCAAAAUAAAAUCCACUUCAAAAUAAAAUCCCCAUAUCUGUAACCCUUUAUGAUCGGGACGCUAAACACACGCUUAAAUAACGACUUGUUACAGAAAAAGUAAUCACAUCACUUCACAUUACGAUUAUUAAUCGCAGUAACACUUUGUUGCUUGGACGUUUUGUCAGAAGGACAUGGAAAAACUCUAACUAACUGCUGUUGUCAAAGUAUAUACGGAAGCCCUUACAGACUCUUUUAACCAUGCCCAUCAGAAACAAAGACAAGAGGACUAUCAAACCUGUUUCCCAGGUUGAAUCGAAGCUGAGGCAGACUGCCAAGUGACGUGAAUAGAAGUCAGAAUGAAGUCUUGUCACCCAACUGACAACAGAUCAUCAGAGAACCGGUUUGAUAAAAUCAGGUUUAUAUUUCUGCAACAACUGUUUGAGUUCAGCUCUCUGCUUGAUCAGCUGCAUCAGUCUGAUAUUCCUUUUCUACGAGAAAGGUGACAAAACAUUCAUUUCCUGAUGAUCCUUGAACUGAUCUCAUAAACUCAUGUUUCUCAGGCUUCAUUUGUUUUUCAAGUUGAAUUCAUCAGUUAAAUCAUGACUUGUCCAUUUGAGUGUAUGUUUGACACCCGUGUUAUGAAGAGUUAACUAUUAUAUUUUUGUAUAUUUUUCACUUACACGGGCAGUUUUUACAUGACGUGAAAACCCUCUGCAAGCUGUGUCUUAUUAGAAAUUAACAAAGGGGUCUUUCGUCCAUGUGGUACAAAUGGUAUUUGUCUCGUCUCGUCUUGUAUCCAUGUUGUAAUGUCUAAAGCACUUUAUAACACUGAUAAGAAAGGUGCCGUAUAUAUUCAGUUUAUUUUUUUAUGACUAAAGAUGAAGGCUGAAUAUAAGAGGAUUAACUUUUAAUAAUCUUAAUCAGGCAUUCAAGAUAAAAUAACUUCCAACACACAGUGUUUUUACAUCAUACCUGUCAACAGAUAUUUGUUGUAAACUGUUGUAUCCUGGAAUUUGAAACACUCAGACCUUCUGCAUUUUGUGAUCACAACUGAUGCCACAGAAAUCAGUUCAUCUCGUGUAUCAAAAUCAUGAAAAUUAAUUUUUCUUGCUCUUAUUAGCUGAUUUUCCAGACAAUUUGUAAUGAAUGAGACAAAUAUAAUAAUGAAAGCUUCGGUGCUGUGAAGAGAAUGUGCUGAGUGUCCCAUGUCUUUCCUCCUUUUGUCAUGCAGAGACACCAUGUGGACGUUUUGUACACUGUGACUGAAUAAUGUCACAAAACCUCACAGUGUUUUGUUUAGGUAUUCACAGGGCUUAAUUUGAUUCUGCCAGAACAGUAUCCGGAGCCAACCAGAAAAAGCAUUGACACCUAUUUCCUUAAACGCUGCACCUCCUUUUAUGUCAAUAUAUUGAUAUAAACAUACAAAUAAUAUUGGUACGUCACAACAGAUGGACAUGCACCGUUGUCAGAAAUGUAAUCAUUAUGUAUUUGUUGUGGGCAAUUUAGAUUUACGUACACUUGUGUGUAUAACUGUGGCUGUGUGGUUGGUGAGGCACUAUGGUUGCUAUGGGUUACCUGCACACCUGGGCAUAGGUGGUAAUCAGUCAUAGGUUAGAUAAGGGAGACACAGCUGAUCAGCCUCAGGGGAAUGAGGAUCAGAGGAAGCCAAACUUCAACUGUGCCUGUGUGUGUGAAGUAGGAAAUGGUUUUUGUGUCACAAGUUUAGUAUUUUUGUCAUUUUGUACGCGCUCGUGUUAAGUCUUUUGGCACCCGGCCUUUUGUAGGUGGUUUUUUUUUUUUAAGAUUUACAAGUUAAUAAAGUGUUGAACGCA